GUGGGGAAUCUUCCGCAAUGGACGAAAGUCUGACGGAGCAACGCCGCGUGAGUGAAGAAGGUUUUCGGAUCGUAAAGCUCUUUCGUUAGGGACGAACGUGCUCUUUGUGAAUAAUGAGGAGUAAUGACGGUACCUAAAUGAGAAGCCACGGCUAACUACGUGCCAGCAGCCGCGGUAAUACGUAGGUGGCAAGCGUUGUCCGGAAUUAUUGGGCGUAAAGCGCGCGCAGGCGGGAUAUCAAGUCUGUCUUAAAAGUGCGAGGCUCAACCUCGUGAGGGGACAGAAACUGGUAUUCUUGAGUGUCGGAGAGGAAAGUGGAAUUCCAAGUGUAGCGGUGAAAUGCGUAGAGAUUUGGAAGAACACCAGUGGCGAAGGCGACUUUCUGGACGAUGUCUGACGCUGAGGCGCGAAAGCUAGGGGAGCGAACGGGAUUAGAUACCCUAGUAGUCC
RNAcentral lists this ribosomal RNA (450 nucleotides) under uncultured bacterium. RNAcentral describes it as "partial 16S ribosomal RNA". It matches the Rfam family "Bacterial small subunit ribosomal RNA", at positions 354 to 796 of the family's 1533-position model. The record is from RNAcentral.